UAGGGAAUCUUCCACAAUGGACGAAAGUCUGAUGGAGCAACGCCGCGUGAGUGAUGAAGGGUUUCGGCUCGUAAAACUCUGUUGUUGGAGAAGAACAGGUGAUAGAGUAACUGUUAUCAUCUUGACGGUAUCCAACCAGAAAGCCACGGCUAACUACGUGCCAGCAGCCGCGGUAAUACGUAGGUGGCAAGCGUUGUCCGGAUUUAUUGGGCGUAAAGCGAGCGCAGGCGGUUUUUUAGGUCUGAUGUGAAAGCCUUCGGCUUAACCGGAGAAGGGCAUCGGAAACCGGGAGACUUGAGUGCAGAAGAGGACAGUGGAACUCCAUGUGUAGCGGUGAAAUGCGUAGAUAUAUGGAAGAACACCAGUGGCGAAGGCGGCUGUCUGGUCUGUAACUGACGCUGAGGCUCGAAAGCAUGGGUAGCGAACAGGAUUAGGAUACCCUGGUAGUCCAUGCCGUAAACGAUGAGUGCUAAGUGUUGGAGGGUUUCCGCCCUUCAGUGCUGCAGCUAACGCAUUAAG
Molecule: ribosomal RNA, 519 nt
Filed under: uncultured bacterium
Lineage: Bacteria
Description: partial 16S ribosomal RNA
Rfam family: Bacterial small subunit ribosomal RNA
Source: RNAcentral